Molecule: ribosomal RNA, 500 nt
Filed under: uncultured bacterium
Lineage: Bacteria
Description: partial 16S ribosomal RNA
Rfam family: Bacterial small subunit ribosomal RNA
Source: RNAcentral
AUUGAACGCUGGCGGCAUGCGUAACACAUGCAAGUCGAACGGUUCCUGGUGCUUGCACCGGAGAUAGUGGCGGACGGGUGAGUAAUACGUAGGAAUCUGUCUUAGAGAGGGGGACAACCUGAGGAAACUUAGGCUAAAACCGCAUAAACUCGGAAGAGAAAAGCAGGGGACCGGAAACGGCCUUGUGCUCUAAGGUGAGCCUACGUCGGAUUAGCUAGUUGGUGGGGUAAAGGCCUACCAAGGCGAUGAUCUGUAGCUGGUCUGAGAGGACGGACAGCCACACUGGGACUGAGACACGGCCCAGACUCCUACGGGAGGCAGCAGUGGGGAAUAUUGGACAAUGGGGGGAACCCUGAUCCAGCGAUGCCGCGUGUGUGAAGAAGGCCUGCGGGUUGUAAAGCACUUUCAGUUGGAAAGAGAAGCGAGAUGAGAAUAUUGUUUCGUGGAGACGUUACUAACAGAAGAAGCACCGGCUAACUCUGUGCCAGCCGCCGCGGUAA